Molecule: non-coding RNA, 30 nt
Filed under: Homo sapiens (human)
Lineage: Eukaryota; Metazoa; Chordata; Mammalia; Primates; Hominidae
Source: RNAcentral
UUGUCAACCGAUGCAGUUACUGUCUCCAGU